GGGGGUUUGUUAAGUCUGCCGUGACCGCCCUCGGCUCAGCCUGGGUAUUUUAUUGGAUACUGGCGAGCUAGAGUGCGGUAGAGCAUGGCGGACUGCCCGGUGU
RNAcentral lists this ribosomal RNA (103 nucleotides) under Hymenobacter terrestris. RNAcentral's name for it is "Hymenobacter sp. P5252 partial 16S ribosomal RNA". Lineage: Bacteria; Pseudomonadati; Bacteroidota; Cytophagia; Cytophagales; Hymenobacteraceae. The record is from RNAcentral.